RNAcentral lists this ribosomal RNA (314 nucleotides) under uncultured bacterium. RNAcentral describes it as "bacterial SSU rRNA". It matches the Rfam family "Bacterial small subunit ribosomal RNA", at positions 28 to 334 of the family's 1533-position model. The record is from RNAcentral.
GAUGAACGCUAGCUACAGGCUUAACACAUGCAAGUCGAGGGGCAGCAUGAACUUAGCUUGCUAAGUUUGAUGGCGACCGGCGCACGGGUGAGUAACACGUAUCCAACCUGCCGAUGACUCGGGGAUAGCCUUUCGAAAGAAAGAUUAAUACCCGAUGUUCUCACUGUUCCGCAUGUUACGGUGAGCAAAGAAUUUCGGUAUGCGAUGGCGAUGCGUCCCAUUAGCUAGUUGGCGGGGUAACGGCCCACCAAGGCUCCGAUGGGUAGGGGUUCUGAGAGGAAGGUCCCCCACACUGGAACUGAGACACGGUCCAG